Molecule: ribosomal RNA, 301 nt
Filed under: uncultured bacterium
Lineage: Bacteria
Description: partial 16S ribosomal RNA
Rfam family: Bacterial small subunit ribosomal RNA
Source: RNAcentral
CAGUCGCCACGGUAAUACGAGGGGUGCAAGCGUUAUUCGGAUUGAUUGGGUGUAAAGCGUGCGCAGGCGGUUUUGUAAGACAGGCGUGAAAUCCCCGGGCUCAACCUGGGAAUGGCGCUUGUGACUGCAAAGCUAGAGUGCGGCAGAGGGGGAUGGAAUUCCGCGUGUAGCAGUGAAAUGCGUAGAUAUGCGGAGGAACACCUAUGGCGAAGGCAAUCCCCUGGGCCUGCACUGACGCUCAUGCACGAAAGCGUGGGGAGCAAACAGGAUUAGAUACCCCCGUAGUCCCUGUCUCUUAUAC